This 759-nucleotide ribosomal RNA is filed under the name uncultured bacterium. Its description in RNAcentral is "bacterial SSU rRNA". It matches the Rfam family "Bacterial small subunit ribosomal RNA", at positions 28 to 776 of the family's 1533-position model. The record is from RNAcentral.
AUUGAACGCUAGCGGAAUGCUUUACACAUGCAAGUCGGACGGCAGCAACGAGGAGCUUGCUCCUUGGGUGGCGAGUGGCGAACGGGUGAGUAAUGUAUCGGAACGUAUCCAAUAGUGGGGGAUAACUACGCGAAAGCGUGGCUAAUACCGCAUACGUCCUACGGGAGAAAGCAGGGGACCUUCGGGCCUUGCGCUAAUGGAGUGGCCGAUAACGGAUUAGCUAGUUGGUGGGGUAAAGGCCUACCAAGGCGACGAUCCGUAGCUGGUUUGAGAGGACGACCAGCCACACUGGGACUGAGACACGGCCCAGACUCCUACGGGAGGCAGCAGUGGGGAAUUUUGGACAAUGGGGGCAACCCUGACCCAGCCAUUUCGCGUGUGUGAAGAAGGCCUUCGGGUUGUAAAGCACUUUUGCCAGGGAAGAAAAGGGGCUAACUAAUAAUUGGUUCUGCUGACGGUACCUGGAGAAUAAGCACCGGCAAACUACGUGCCAGCAGCCGCGGUAAUACGUAGGGUGCGAGCGUUAAUCGGAAUUACUGGGCGUAAAGGGUACGCAGGCGGCAUGGCAAGAAGGAUGUGAAAUCCCAGGGCUCAACCUUGGAACUGCAUUCUUAACUGCCAAGCUAGAGUAGGUCAGAGGGGGGUAGAAUUCCACGUGUAGCAGUGAAAUGCGUAGAGAUGUGGAGGAAUACCAAUGGCGAAGGCAGCCCCCUGGGAUCAUACUGACGCUCAUGUACGAAAGCGUGGGGAGCAAACAGG